CAGUCGCCACGGGAAUACAGAGGGUGCGAGCGUUAAUCGGAUUUACUGGGCGUAAAGCGUGCGUAGGCGGCUUCUUAAGUCGGAUGUGAAAUCCCUGAGCUUAACUUAGGAAUUGCAUUCGAUACUGGGAAGCUAGAGUAUGGGAGAGGAUGGUAGAAUUCCAGGUGUAGCGGUGAAAUGCGUAGAGAUCUGGAGGAAUACCGAUGGCGAAGGCAGCCAUCUGGCCUAAUACUGACGCUCAGGUGCGAAAGCGUGGGGAGCAAACAGGAUUAGAUACCCCUGUAGUCCCUGUCUCUUAUAA
RNAcentral lists this ribosomal RNA (301 nucleotides) under uncultured bacterium. Its description in RNAcentral is "partial 16S ribosomal RNA". It matches the Rfam family "Bacterial small subunit ribosomal RNA", at positions 509 to 809 of the family's 1533-position model. The record is from RNAcentral.